RNAcentral lists this ribosomal RNA (373 nucleotides) under uncultured cyanobacterium. RNAcentral describes it as "bacterial SSU rRNA". It matches the Rfam family "Bacterial small subunit ribosomal RNA", at positions 408 to 796 of the family's 1533-position model. Lineage: Bacteria; Bacillati; Cyanobacteriota. The record is from RNAcentral.
AGGAAGGUUUUUGGAUCGUAAACCCCUUUUGUCAAGGAAGAAGCUCUGACGGUACUUGACGAAUAAGCCUCGGCUAACUCCGUGCCAGCAGCCGCGGUAAUACGGAGGAGGCAAGCGUUAUCCGGAAUGAUUGGGCGUAAAGCGUCUGUAGGUGGCCAGCUAAGUCUGCUGUUAAAGAUCACAGCUCAACUGUGGGAAGGCAGUGGAAACUGGCAAGCUAGAGGUUGGUAGGGGUAAAGGGAAUUCCCGGUGUAGCGGUGAAAUGCGUAGAUAUCGGGAAGAACACCGGUGGCGAAAGCGCUUUACUGGGCCAGACCUGACACUGAAGGACGAAAGCUAGGGGAGCGAAAGGGAUUAGAUACCCCUGUAGUCA